Long non-coding RNA from Varroa destructor (honeybee mite), 347 nucleotides. RefSeq lists it as uncharacterized. The record is from RefSeq and is a predicted model, not a curated record. Lineage: Eukaryota; Metazoa; Arthropoda; Arachnida; Mesostigmata; Varroidae.
AUCUCAAGUGGUAAAAGUGGAAUACACGGAGUGUGCAGACAGAGCGAACAGUAUUUGGUAGGGUUCAGGAAGCACUCUGUUAAGUCGUCAAAUCGAUGAACAGCCUGAUAAUAACGGACCUUGACGCUAACUAUCGCUGUUCGUUCAACAUAGCUCAGGGUGUCCGGAAGUGUUGACUAUGCAAUUGAUGUUGGCGCUACAUUGAGUUUACCGUCAUAAUGCAACGAAGAAAGACGGAUCUAAAAUGUAACCAUAAAUAACCAUGCGAUUGAAAAUGCCGCCCUACUGUGGAUGCCCCCUUGGUUGGUAUGAGUCACGGGAACAAAUGACCUACUUGAAUAAAUGAG